UUCACCACGUUGCCCAGGCUGGUCUCAAGUGACCCACUGCCUCAGCUUCCCAAAGUGCAUAGUCAUUUUUAAAGUACAGUUUAGGGAUAAUGUAUUAUUUCUAUUAGAGUUAUAACUUUAAGCUGGGAGAUGUUCAGUAACUAAGUUUGUGAAGCUAUUAGAAUGUUUAAGUGCAUUUGGUUUGCUAUGAGCUUGAUUUAUUAAAAGGAUAAGAGUAAUUUAAGUGUUUGACAAGUCUGGCUGUCUGUUUUGCAAAUGUUUCCUGUCAGGUAUUUGAAAUGCUUAAAAAGAAAAAUGAAGACAUUAAAUUAUAAUCAAACGUUAAAAACAUAAAGGGAAUUUAACUUUAAUAAAAAGCCUAUCAACAAUGAUACAUCUACAAAGAGGCAGACAUUCCAAGUUGGGAAGAUGGGGAGGUUACUUACCCGUGCUGCUCCCGAACCAAUUAACUAGCAGAACUUGUUUUCAAACAAUAAGAUACAACCUGGUACAGAAUGUUCCAACGCGGUGGGGGAGGGAUCACGUUUGCCGAUGAGGACUGCAAUGUUGGGACUAAAACCGUGUGUGAAACCUGAACGGCUCCAAAAUCAUCUGUUCCCUUCUCAUCUCUCCCAGAAGUGUCCGUGACAGUCGCUGUCAUGGAAGUCACCUCCCCAGCACCACAAGGGAGAGCCAUCCUUCCUGCAGGGCGGCCACGUGGCCACCUAGGCUGGUCCCGGGAGACCUUGGACCCAGGCUGGUGCCUGCCCCAGCUCCUGUCCCGAGACGUGGCUGAAGGAAACCCGAGUGAAGGCUGAGUGCCCCAUGAGGGACCCGGGCUCUGACACAGACAGACUGUCCCGGCUGGAGUCCAGCUCCUGGACGACCUGGGUCUCCCCGUUCUGCACUGGUAUCGCGCGGUGAGGCGGCGCUGAUCAGAACCUCAAAAGACCUGACCCCGAACACCGUCAUCCCAAAUCCUGAGCUCCUGAAAGAUCAAAACCUAACAUGUUGGUGUUCUGACCAGUUUCUCUGUGAAUGGUUCAUCUGCACAUAACUCAUAUCCACGUGACUGAAUGAGCACACCUGUGUGUCUGUGCUGGAGAAAAUGUUAUGAUCACCGACUUUAUUGGGAUGUCAGCAUUCAGAACUGUGUCCCAGGAUCGUGGCCCAGACCCACAGGGCAGGGGCGUGCACUUUUGAGGGUUCUGAAGACGACUCAACAGGGUGCCUGACCUGCUGGUAAGGACUCAGGAGACCUCACCUGUCCUCGUCACACUCAUGGAAGGGGACUCCAGAUCCCUGGCGUAGCUGGUCUGGGAACUGGGGAGGGAUGGGCAGUGCCCGGUAUAGGGUGCAACCUCCAGUGCCCACAUUAGCACGUCUGUUGCUGUGAGAUUCUAUCCUGUGGACACCUGUGGCUGUAACACACACCUUCCCACUGCUGUCACAGGAGUGAUACUCUUUCCGAUUCUAACAUCAGUGUGUGCACAUUUUGGGAAAACCAGCAAGUACAGAAGAAGAAUUUAGGCCGGGCCCAGUGGCUCACGCCUGGAAUCCCAGCACUUCGGGAAGUCAAGGCAGGAGGAUCGCUGGAGGCCAGGAGUUUGAGAUCAGCCCGGGCAACAUAGUGAGACCUCAUCUCUAUUUAAGAAAGAAAAAGACCACUGGUCCUCCCAGUGUUUACAAGAUUUUUCCAUUAAAACAGGAGGGAUCAUAAUGAGCGGCCUAACAAAGACAUUUAAAGACACGCCAAGAAGGGGCGCAGACAGGAGUCCUGAGAUGCAGUCAUGGGAACCCGCACCUGUUUUCCCGCCCUGGGCACCCAGCGUGGACAGGCUGGCCGGUGCCAGGGUGAGCAGGGCAGGCUGAGGUCUCCAGUGGGUGGGGACAGGUUAGGGGGCAGCAAUUCAGUGACCCUGUCCAGGACUGGGUCCCUUGCAGAAGGUGAGGUCAGCCAGGGGUGGGGGUGGUGGCUGUGGAAUCCGUUGUCUGGUCUAUAGGGGGUCCCCCUACCGAAGCCCUAACCCUCUCCCCUUCACCACCCCAGUGAUCUCCUGGCCCAGGCUGCUGCCUCCAGCAGCUCCCCAGCCCCCAGGACAGUCCUUCAGGACUCUAGGGGGAGUCCCGUCUACAAGGACGGCUCACCAGUCUCCCGCCACAGCCAGUGAGGAUGGGGUCCUGCAGCCGAAGUGGUGUGUGCCCAGUGUGGUGUCCCUGGCAGGCUGGGAGGGUGCCCCCAGCUGCCAGUUAGUGAGGCUGGGUUAGCACGAGGGCAAGGAGCUUGGAUUCUGGGGCUGACAGCCUGAGCUCAACUCCAGCGCCCCAUCUUGCUGGGGCUCCUCCGCCUGGAGGCGGCUCCUCCACCUGCCUCUGCCUCCGUUUCUGCAGCAGUUGCCUGCCGGACUCCAGCCCGAGGCGGGGGCCACGGCUGACCCAGCUGGAGAACGCCCCACUGGCCCAGUCAGUGCUGUCCUCUGCACCUGAUGGCUUCUCUUGGCAGGGAGGGCUCCCCCGCCCCCGGGCUCUGUGCCAGCCAGAGGUUCCGCAGGAGCUGCUCACUUCCUCCCGCCGGCAGAGGCAGCCUGCGGGGCGGCUCCAACCUGGAGAAACCAAAAUCAGGGCAAGUCCCUGGCUGCUUCCCUGGAAAGCCCCGACGGAGUCCCCGCUCCUUCCCGCCGGUUCUCAGGGUGCUUUAUUUCAGAAGGGGAUUUCUUCCUCCUGAGAAUCUGAUGGCCACAGGGUGCCUGUCACAUGUCCACAUCGGGCCCUCCUGGCUGUCACCAACUUGUCCAACUGUCAGAGGUGUUUGAACCAGAGCGACUCCGUCUUGAAUAGGGGCUGGGUGGAAUGAGGCUGGGGCCUGCUGGACUGCGUUCCCGGGAGGGUAAGGCAUUCUUAGUCACAAGACAGGAGGUUGGCACAAGAUACAAGUCACGAAGACCUUGCCGAUAAAGCAGGUUGCAGUAAAGAAGUGGCCAAAUCCCACCAAAACCAAGAUGGUGACUAGAGUGACCUCUGGUCGUGCUCGCCACUCAUUAUACACAAAUUCUAAUGCAUUAGCUGCUAAGAGACACUCCCACCAGCGCCAUGUCCACAAAUGCCAUGGCAACGUCCGAAAGUUACCCUGCACGGUCUAAAAAGGAGAGGAAGCCUCAGUUCUGGGAAUUGACCACCCUUUCCCAGAAAAUUCAUGAAUAAUCCACUCCUUGUUUAACAUAUAAUCAAGAAAUGACCAAAAUAAGCAUAAGAAUAUUCAGCUGAGCAGCCCAGCCCUCCGCACUGCCUCUGGAGUAGCCAUUCUUUAUUCCUUUACUCUAUUAAUAAACUUCUCACUUGAC
This 3320-nucleotide long non-coding RNA is filed under the name Homo sapiens (human). RNAcentral describes it as "HSALNT0404500". Lineage: Eukaryota; Metazoa; Chordata; Mammalia; Primates; Hominidae. The record is from RNAcentral.